GAUGAAGAACGUAGCGAAAUGCGAUACGUAAUGUGAAUUGCAAAUUCAGUGAAUCAUCGAGUCUUUGAACGCACAUUGCGCCCCCUGGUAUUCCGGGGGGCAUGCCUGUCCGAGCGUCAUUGCUGCCCUCAAGCACGGCUUGUGUGUUGGGCCCCGUCCUCCGAUUCCGGGGGACGGGCCCGAAAGGCAGCGGCGGCACCGCGUCCGGUCCUCGAGCGUAUGGGGCUUUGUCACCCGCUCUGUAGGCCCGGCCGGCGCUUGCCGAUCAACCCAAAUUUUUAUCCAGGUUGACCUCGGAUCAGGUAGGGAUACCCGCUGAACUUAAGCAUAUCCAAUAAGCGGAGGA
This 346-nucleotide unclassified non-coding RNA is filed under the name soil metagenome. RNAcentral describes it as "partial contains 5.8S ribosomal RNA, internal transcribed spacer 2, and large subunit ribosomal RNA". The stretch from base 1 to 119 matches the Rfam family "5.8S ribosomal RNA", at positions 35 to 154 of the family's 154-position model. The record is from RNAcentral.